RNAcentral lists this ribosomal RNA (406 nucleotides) under uncultured bacterium. Its description in RNAcentral is "partial 16S ribosomal RNA". It matches the Rfam family "Bacterial small subunit ribosomal RNA", at positions 30 to 526 of the family's 1533-position model. The record is from RNAcentral.
AUUGAACGCUGGCGGCAGGCUUAACACAUGCAAGUCGAGCGAGCGGCGGACGGGUGAGUAAUGUCUGGGUAACUGCCUGACGGAGGGGGAUAACUAAAGGAAACGGUAGCUAAUACCGCAUAACAUCCGAUGUGCCCAGAUGGGCUUAGCUAGUAGGUGGGGUAAUGGCUCACCUAGGCGACGAUCCCUAGCUGGUCUGUGAGGAUGACCAGCCACACUGGAACAUGGACACGGUCCAAACUCCUACGGGAGGCGGCAGUGGGGAAAAUUGGACAAAGGACACAAGCCUGAUGCAGCCAUACCGCGUGUGUGAAGAAGGCCUUCGGGUUGUAAAGCACUUUCAGCGAGGAGGCGUUACUCGCAGAAGGGGCACCGGCUAACUCCGUGCCAGCAGCCGCGGUAAUUC